RNAcentral lists this ribosomal RNA (506 nucleotides) under uncultured bacterium. RNAcentral's name for it is "partial 16S ribosomal RNA". It matches the Rfam family "Bacterial small subunit ribosomal RNA", at positions 29 to 523 of the family's 1533-position model. The record is from RNAcentral.
AGUGAACGCUGGCGGUAGGCCUAACACAUGCAAGUCGAACGGCAGCACAGGAGAGCUUGCUCUCUGGGUGGCGAGUGGCGGACGGGUGAGGAAUACAUCGGAAUCUACUCUGUCGUGGGGGAUAACGUAGGGAAACUUACGCUAAUACCGCAUACGACCUACGGGUGAAAGCAGGGGACCUUCGGGCCUUGCGCGGUUGCAUGAGCCGAUGUCGGAUUAGCUAGUUGGUGGGGUAAAGGCCCACCAAGGCGACGAUCCGUAGCUGGUCUGAGAGGAUGAUCAGCCACACUGGAACUGAGACACGGUCCAGACUCCUACGGGAGGCAGCAGUGGGGAAUAUUGGACAAUGGGCGCAGGCCUGAUCCAGCCAUACCGCGUGGGUGAAGAAGGCCUUCGGGUUGUAAAGCCCUUUUGUUGGGAAAGAAAUCCAGCUGGCUAAUACCCGGUUGGGAUGACGGUACCCAAAGAAUAAGCACCGGCUAACUUCGUGCCAGCAGCCGCCGUAA